UACAGAGGCCUCGAGCGUUAAUCGGAAUUACUGGGCGUAAAGCGUGCGCAGGCGGUUUGUUAAGUCUGCUGUGAAAUCCCCGAGCUCAACUUGGGAAUUGCAGUGGAUACUGGCAAGCUGGAGUACGGUAGAGGAAGGUGGAAUUCCCGGUGUAGCAGUGAAAUGCGUAGAGAUCGGGAGGAACACCAGUGGCGAAGGCGGCCUUCUGGACCAGUACUGACGCUCAUGCACGAAAGCGUGGGGAGCAAACAGG
RNAcentral lists this ribosomal RNA (253 nucleotides) under uncultured bacterium. RNAcentral describes it as "partial 16S ribosomal RNA". It matches the Rfam family "Bacterial small subunit ribosomal RNA", at positions 524 to 776 of the family's 1533-position model. The record is from RNAcentral.